This 447-nucleotide ribosomal RNA is filed under the name uncultured bacterium. RNAcentral describes it as "bacterial SSU rRNA". It matches the Rfam family "Bacterial small subunit ribosomal RNA", at positions 355 to 825 of the family's 1533-position model. The record is from RNAcentral.
UCGGGAAUUUUGGGCAAUGGGGGAAACCCUGACCCAGCAACGCCGCGUGAAGGAUGAAGUAUUUCGGUAUGUAAACUUCGAAAGAAUAGGAAGAAUAAAUGACGGUACUAUUUAUAAGGUCCGGCUAACUACGUGCCAGCAGCCGCGGUAAUACGUAGGGACCAAGCGUUGUUCGGAUUUACUGGGCGUAAAGGGCGCGUAGGCGGCAUGACAAGUCACUUGUGAAAUCUCUGGGCUUAACCCAGAACGGCCAAGUGAUACUGUCGCGCUAGAGUGCAGAAGGGGCAAUCGGAAUUCUUGGUGUAGCGGUGAAAUGCGUAGAUAUCAAGAGGAACACCUGAGGCGAAGGCGGGUUGCUAGGCUGAUACUGACGCUGAGGCGCGAAAGCUAGGGUAGCAAACGGGAUUAGAUACCCCCGUAGUCCCUGAGCGGGCUGGCAAGGCGCAU